Molecule: ribosomal RNA, 375 nt
Filed under: uncultured bacterium
Lineage: Bacteria
Description: bacterial SSU rRNA
Rfam family: Bacterial small subunit ribosomal RNA
Source: RNAcentral
GACGAACCGUGCGAACGUUGUUCGGAUUCACUGGGCUUAAAGGGCGCGUAGGCGGGCCUUCAAGUCAGGGGUGAAAUCCUCCGGCCUAACCGGAGAACAGCCCCUGAUACUGAGGGCCUCGAGGGAGGUAGGGGUCGAUGGAACUUCCGGUGGAGCGGUGAAAUGCGUAGAUAUCGGAAGGAACGCCGGUGGCGAAAGCGAUCGACUGGACCUCUUCUGACGCUGAGGCGCGAAAGCCAGGGGAGCGAACGGGAUUAGAUACCCCGGUAGUCCUGGCCCUAAACGAUGGGUACUAGGUUGUGGACUUGACAUGGGUUCACAGCCGAAGCAAAAGUGAUAAGUACCCCGCCUGGGGAGUAUGGUCGCAAGGCUGAA